This 497-nucleotide ribosomal RNA is filed under the name uncultured bacterium. RNAcentral's name for it is "partial 16S ribosomal RNA". It matches the Rfam family "Bacterial small subunit ribosomal RNA", at positions 28 to 507 of the family's 1533-position model. The record is from RNAcentral.
GAUGAACGCUGGCGGCGUGCCUAAUACAUGCGAGUCGAGCGAACGGACGAGAAGCUUGCUUCUCUGAUGUUAGCGGCGGACGGGUGAGUAACACGUGGAUAACCUACCUAUAAGACUGGGAUAACUUCGGGAAACCGGAGCUAAUACCGGAUAAUAUUUUGAACCGCAUGGUUCAAAAGUGAAAGACGGUCUUGCUGUCACUUAUAGAUGGAUCCGCGCUGCAUUAGCUAGUUGGUAAGGUAACGGCUUACCAAGGCAACGAUGCAUAGCCGACCUGAGAGGGUGAUCGGCCACACUGGAACUGAGACACGGUCCAGACUCCUACGGGAGGCAGCAGUGGGGAAUCUUCCGCAAUGGGCGAAAGCCUGACGGAGCAACGCCGCGUGAGUGAUGAAGGUCUUCGGAUCGUAAAACUCUGUUAUUAGGGAAGAACAUAUGUGUAAGUAACUGUGCACAUCUUGACGGUACCUAAUCAGAAAGCCACGGCUAACUACGUG